This 253-nucleotide ribosomal RNA is filed under the name uncultured bacterium. Its description in RNAcentral is "partial 16S ribosomal RNA". It matches the Rfam family "Bacterial small subunit ribosomal RNA", at positions 524 to 776 of the family's 1533-position model. The record is from RNAcentral.
UACGUAGGUGGCAAGCGUUGUCCGGAUUUAUUGGGUUUAAAGGGUGCGUAGGCGGCUUUGUAAGUCAGUGGUGAAAUACUCUAGCUUAACUAGAGGGGUGCCAUUGAUACUGCGGAACUUGAGUACAGAUGAGGUAGGCGGAAUUGACGGUGUAGCGGUGAAAUGCAUAGAUAUCGUCAAGAACACCGAUAGCGAAGGCAGCUUACUGGGCUGUAACUGACGCUGAUGCACGAAAGUGUGGGGAUCAAACAGG